RNAcentral lists this ribosomal RNA (434 nucleotides) under uncultured bacterium. Its description in RNAcentral is "bacterial SSU rRNA". It matches the Rfam family "Bacterial small subunit ribosomal RNA", at positions 28 to 477 of the family's 1533-position model. The record is from RNAcentral.
GACGAACGCUGGCGGCGUGCCUAACACAUGCAAGUCGAACGGGGUUACCCUUCGGGGUAACUUAGUGGCGAACGGGUGAGUAACGCGUGAGGAACCUGCCUUUCAGUGGGGGACAACAGUUGGAAACGACUGCUAAUACCGCAUAAUGUUGUCGGAUGGCAUCAUCUGACAACCAAAGCUUUAUGUGCUGAAAGAUGGCCUCGCGUCUGAUUAGCUAGAUGGCGGGGUAACGGCCCACCAUGGCGACGAUCAGUAGCCGGUCUGAGAGGAUGAACGGCCACAUUGGGACUGAGAUACGGCCCAGACUCCUACGGGAGGCAGCAGUGGGGAAUAUUGGGCAAUGGGGGAAACCCUGACCCAGCAACGCCGCGUGAAGGAAGAAGGGCCUUCGGGUUGUAAACUUCUUUUAGUAGGGUACGAAGAACGUGACGGUA